GAUGAACGCUGGCGGCGUGCCUAAUACAUGCAAGUCGAGCGAACAGACGAGGAGCUUGCUCCUCUGACGUUAGCGGCGGACGGGUGAGUAACACGUGGAUAACCUACCUAUAAGACUGGGAUAACUUCGGGAAACCGGAGCUAAUACCGGAUAAUAUAUUGAACCGCAUGGUUCAAUAGUGAAAGACGGUUUUGCUGUCACUUAUAGAUGGAUCCGCGCCGCAUUAGCUAGUUGGUAAGGUAACGGCUUACCAAGGCAACGAUGCGUAGCCGACCUGAGAGGGUGAUCGGCCACAUGGGAACUGAGACACGGUCCAGACGCCUAAGGGAGGCAGCAGUAGGGAAUCUUCCGCAAUGGGCGAAAGCUUGACGGAGCAACGCCGCGUGAGUGAUGAAGGUCUUCGGAUCGUAAAACUCUGUUAUUAGGGAAGAACAAAUGUGUAAGUAACUAUGCACGUCUUGACGGUACCUAAUCAGAAAGCCACGGCUAACUACGUG
RNAcentral lists this ribosomal RNA (497 nucleotides) under uncultured bacterium. RNAcentral's name for it is "partial 16S ribosomal RNA". It matches the Rfam family "Bacterial small subunit ribosomal RNA", at positions 28 to 507 of the family's 1533-position model. The record is from RNAcentral.